AAAAAACACUGUGACAGAAAAGAAGAAUGCCUUCAAUGAGCUUAUUAGUAGACUGGAUAUGGCUAAGAAAAUAAUCUCUGAGCUUGGGUGUAUUUCAAUAGAAACCUUCAAAACUGAAAAGAAAACAGAAAAAGGACUGAAAUAAGUAGAACAGACCAUCCAAGAACUGCAGGACAACUACAAACGGUGUAAAUGGGAAUAUAAAAAGGAGAAGAAUGAGAGAAAGGAAAAGAAGAAAUAUUUGAAAGAAUAAUGAUUGAGAAUUUCCCUCAAUUAAGAUCAGAUACCAAACCACAGAUUCCAGAAGCUCAGAGAACACAAAGCAGGAUAAAUGCCCCAAAAAUACACCCAGGCAUAUCAUGUUCAAACUGUAGAAAAUCAACAGUAAAGAAAAUCUUGAAAGAAGCCAGAGGGAAGAAACAUCUUAUCCUACAGAAGAGCAAAGGUAAGAAUUAUGUCUGACUUCUCUUCAGAAACAAAGCAAACAGGAAGAGAAUGGACUAAAAUACUUAAGGUGUUGAGAGAAAACAACCACCAACCUAGAAUUCUGUACCCUGCAAAAUUAUCCUUCAAACAUGAAGAAGUAAAGACUUCCUCAGAAAAACAAAAAUUGAGAAAAUUCUUUUUCCAAUACAACUGCCUUGCAAGACAUGUUAAAAGAAGUUAUUUAGAAAGAAGAAAAAUUAUACAAAUCAAAAACUGGGAUCAACAUAAAGAAAGGAAGAGCAUCAGAGAAGGAACAAGUGAAGAUGGUGAAAUCCAGACUUUGAAAGACUGAGCAAAUUGCCCACAGCAACACUGUUGAUAAAUAGCAGAGUUUGGAUUCAAGCGCAGGUCUGCAAUCCUGCUUGCGCAAAUUUCAAAGGAACGGAUACUGGGUAUCUUCCAGGUACUAGACCAAACAUUUAGUGUAUGUUAAUUUGUUUAACCCUCCCCUCAACCUAUGAAGUGAGUGUUAGCCCCACCCUUAUAGAAAAGGCAACUGUGCCCAGAGCGGUGGAGGACUGCGCUCCAGGAUGCAACCAAAGCCGGGUGCACAGCAGCCGGCAUGGCGCCAAAACUGAAGCCCUGAGCUGCUCUGCGGUGCUACCCUUUGUCCCUCCAGACUCUCUUUUCCUUCAUCUGUUUGUCAGUAAACCGAAGCCACCACAGUUUGUCAUUUGGAUGAUUUUCGAUGGAGAAGCUGCAGCUCCAGACUCUUGACAGCCGCACAACUUCCAAGGCAGUGGCCCCGCGGGCUGCAAACCCCACCUUCCUGCAGUUGCAGAGCCAGCUAAGAGGUGGGCAGCAUGCCAGGCCCCAUCAGCAGCCCCUGGAGCACACACCAAUUGCAGAUGCUCAGGAGACUCGGGGGAAGGAACGGGGUUUUCACCAGAACACCACAGGCAGGACCUCCCAGCAAAGGCCUCCAGAUGCUGUGAAAACCUAAGGCUCGUCCUCCUCCUGGCUUCCCAGGUUACCCAGCCACAACACACAGAUGCUGGGUCUGGGACGGCUCCACUGGAACCUGAGAUGACCUGAGGGUGUCCCAGUGAUAUAACAUAUGAGGAAAGCAGAAACAACUAAGAAAUAGACUCUGAAUGUGGCAGAUUCUAGAACUGAGGUGAGCAGCCAGGACUUGCCUGACAUGCCCACUGGGAGUACGGUGCUAGCAGCCUGAGAACAGAGCCCAGCCGCCACGCCACCAGGAUGGGAGUGGGCCCGGCGGACUUCCUGCCUUUUGGUCAGACAGACUGCCUUCCUGAAUUACUAGGUCCAGGAAGUGUGGUGACGGGGUGGGGGCGGGUGGAGAGGUUGCACGUGUCACUUACCACCCCCAUACGGCCCUCUUCCUGACUGUCGCCUCCCUUCCUCGCUUACAGACCAGUUACUUAAUCUGCCACAUGACGAGAUGGUAUCUGGGAUCUCUAACGGCUCUGAAAUCCCACAAUUCUAUAACUGGUCUUAGACACAAGACCAGUAAGAGAUAGGCGAACCCCGGCCCCGCCCCGCAGUUUGCUCCAUGUGAUACACAGUUCACACUGAGUGCUAGCAGUAGGGGAAGAAACAGUAGCUGCUCUGUGUUGAGCACUGAGCCUGCACUGAGCAAGGUGAUGCGUGUUUCUAGGCAUCGUCACAUUCUGUGCCCAUGUGGGUGCUCCUAGCACCAGUCAGAAGAUAGAGCUUAAACAGGUGGAGUAAGUUGCCCAAAGGCCAGCCCCAGUUUCCCUGAAUCUCAUCAUGCUGGACACUGGACUAUUUCUGGAGGUUUAAGGCUGAGAAAAUCUAAGUCUGUAUCCCCUCACACUCCUCCUUACACUGGUGUCCCUGGGAGAAACCUCGACAUUACUCCCAACCUCGCUUCUCCCCAAGAGCAGGAUGAUUUGUGUAACUCAUGAGUUUGGGAGAAAACCCGCACCUGUGGGGCUCGAUCCCUCUGCCUCUUGGAGCAGAAGGCGGCCUUCUGUGCUGGGCUCCGUCCUGGGGGAGGUCCGCAGCUGGCCAUCUGCGCCAGGCCCUAGCAGAUAAUAAAGCUUAUCUGUCCCAGGUGUGAUGUAUUAGCAAGCCUGCCUGGCCGUACCUCAAGCUGCAUUUUCCUCCAAUUUGCCAAGAAAGGGGACACUUUCUCUCAGUUGGUUCUGGACUCUGAAAGAAGAAAGGGUGUUGUUAUUCAUCCGGUUUCCUAGAGCCCCACCAUAUGGACACCUGGUGCAGCCCUGAAGGGAGGGAUGGCAGCAGGUUUAGGGAUGGAGACAUCUCAGAGCCAGAAGAGACCUUCUAGCAGCCCAGCAGAAAUAUAAUGAAGCCACACAGGUGACUGUAAAUUCCCUAGCAACAAUAUUAACAAAUAGAAGCAGGAAAAAUUAAUUAUAGUAAUACAUUUUACUUAGUUCAAUAGAGCAGAUGAUCAUUUCAAUAUGUGCUCAGAGUGCAGUGUGGCUAACGGCUUCUGUCAUGGACAGUACAGCCUUAGGGCCUCCUAUGCCUGAGGGGGUCUGCUCCCUUUGACAAUGUCCCAGUGCAAAGACUUCCAGGUGUGAAGAGGUCUCAACCUUCUGAAUCACUCCAUUUAGUGGUGGGCAUUUCUGGUUGUUAGAAACACCUCAUCCUCCAUUGGUCUCCACCCCCACUCAACUUGCUUCCAUCUCUCUGAGAGACAGUCAGAACGGAACACAUUCCUCUAGAAAGGUCCUCAGUCUUUUCUGAAAUGCCUAUCUCCUGUCUUUCACAGGCUGCUGCCUCCCUGUGUCAUUGCCUAACAUUGGUAUUCUUUGGUGGGACAAAGUUUUGGUGUUUUUCUCACUUGAGAAUAUUAUAUUUAUAACAGUUGUGGACACAUGUUGUUUUUUAACUACCCAGCAUCCAGUCUUCCUAAUUUAGAAGAACCCCAAAAUAGGUGAAAAGUACAACCCCACCUCUGAUCCCGCCUCUGACCCCGCCUCCUGUCACAGAGGCGGAAGAGGAGCAGAUCUUCACUUUCCACACCUCAAGGUACUCAGCCAAUCACCUGUUCAUGCCUGAGAUUGUGAAUCCAAUAGGAAAGUACAAGGACAUGGAGAUUGUCAGAGCUGUUGUAUGAUGGUGGCAGCAGAGUCAAGAGUCCAGCGGAGAGGCAGCAAGCAUCCCAAGGAUCCCAUGACUGAGAACCAGCUUCUGUGGUUUAGAAGCAAGGCGCCAACUGGUAUGAGAAGCACAGACAGAUGGUGCCCUGGGAACACUGGCUGUCACGUGCUGGAGGAGGUUCCUCAGCAAGUCACCUUCCCUCCAUGGGCCUCUGUUGGAAAGAAGGCAUCAAGAUCAUUCCAGCUAUGAUUCCUGAGCUUUUAAUAUAUUCUUUCUGAUGAUUAAGAAAUAUAUCUGUCGAGCAUGGCAGCUUACGCCUGUAAUCCUAGCACUUUGUGAGGCCGAGGCGGGUGGAUCAUGAGGUCAGGAGUUCAAGACCAGCCUGACCAACAUGGUGAAACCUCGUGUCUACUAAAAAUACAAAAAUUAGCCGGGUGUUGUGGUGUGUGCUUGUAAUCCCAGCUACUCGGGAGGCUGAGGCAGGAGAAACACUUGAACCCGGGAGGCGGAGGUUGCAGUGAGCUGACAUCACGCCACUGCCCUCCAGCCUGGGUAACAGAGUGAGACUCCAUCUCAAAGAAAAAAAGAGAUAUAUCUGCAUGUGACAUGGAAAGAGGCUCAGAAUAUCAGACAUUUUACUACAGAUCUUGAAAACAGCUCUCCAAAACUAACUCCAGAUCCACCCUGGGGUUCUCAACUCCACAUGGUUUUCUAAAAUUGAGACCAAGACUAAGAUGAAGAGCUAUGCCUCGCCCUGAUGCUGCCAGGACUACUGUUCCCAUGACUACCUUGAGGUGCAGGCUGAGACCCUGGGUGUCUGUGGUGGCAGAGUACAGCAGAGGAGUUGGAGUCAAAGCAGUUUGGAUCCUCAUCCCAGCUGGGCCUCCUGAUGUUGGAGGGCCCUGGACAAAGGGUUUUCAUUUGCUGGGUCUCAGUUCUCCACAUGGACAACAAUGCACUGUAUGAGUUUUAAGGUUCUUUUCAGCUCUGACUCUCUGUGAGUCUGAAUCCAGUAGGAGCUAUUAUUUCCUUGAUUCCUCCUUACUGUUUUGUUCCCUUCUUCUCUGGUUUCUGUAUUAAAACUUUAUAUGUUUAUGAAUGGAUAAUCAAAAUGUGGUAUAUCCAUAUCAUGGAAUAUUAUACAGCCAUGAAAAGGAAUGAAGUACUGAUGCAUGCUACAACAUGGAUGAACCUUAAAAACACUAGGCUAAGUGAAAGAAGCCAGUCUCCAAAGACCAUAUGUGGUAUGAUUUCAUUGAUAUGAAAUGCUCAGAAUAGGCAGAUUUGUAGUGACAGAAAGUACAUUAGUGGCUGCCUAGGGCUAGGAAGAGAUGAGGAGUGACUCUCAAUGAGUACAGGAUUUCUUUUGGAAGUGAUGAAAAUGUUCAAAAAUUGAUUGCAGUGAUGGCUGUACAACUCUGUGAAUAUAUGAAAAACCCUUGAAUUAUACAAUUGAAAUUGGUGAAUUGUAUGGUAUAUGAAUUGUAUCUGAAUAAAGCUGUUAAAAAAACGGGGAAGAAGUUUAAGAGAAAUCCAAUAUAUUUUAAAGCUCUGCUCAUGGCAUUGGAGGUUAGCCUUGAAAAUUAAAUCCACUCACAGUCCAACAAUUCUAUGUUGUUUGGGUUUUUAAAUUUUUCCCUAUUAUUAAAUUGAUUCAUUUGAAUGUAACUACUUUAAAAUCACCCCUUCUCCGAAGGUCUAAUUAGCAGUCUAAUGGGAUCAGAAAAAGGAAAAAUGGGAUCUGACAAGUUUCUAUGCUUGAUUCCAGAGAGUUCAUUGAGGUAGUUUCUCUUUUCUCUAGACUCUUUUGUUAGAUUCUACUGGAAAUCCUAUCUGAAGAAUUAUUAUAGAACAGUGCAGCUCAUACUUUAAUGUGCACACAAAUAACGUGGAGAUCUUGUUAAAAUACAGAUUCUAACUUAGGAGGUCUGGGGUGGGGCCUUGGAGUCUUGAACCUCUGACAAGCUCCCCAUCGAUGCUGAUGCUGCUGGCCCAUGGACCACACUGCAAGCUGCCAGGCUCCAGAACACUGUCUAAUAUGACCACUGAGCACUUGCAAUGUGGCUAGUCUGAAUAGGGAUGUAAUGUAGGUGAAUGAAUGAGAGAAUAUAAGUGAUGUCAGUGUAAAAUAUAUCAUAGUUUUCAAAGACUUAGUAAAAAAAAAGAACAUGAAAUAAUUUUUAUAUUAGUUGGACAUUGGCAUAAUAAUAUUCUGCCCUGGGCGUGGUGACUCACGCCUGUAAUCCCAGAACUUUGGGUGGCUGAAGCAGGCAGAUCACUUGAGACCAGGAGUUAGAGACCAGCCUGGCCAACAUGGCAAAACCGUGUCUCUACUAAAAACACAAAAAUUAGCUGGGCAUGGUGGUGCACACUUGUAAUGUCAGCUACUCGGGUGGCUGAGGCACGAGAAUCACUUGAACCCAGGAGGUGGAGAUUGCAGUGAGCUGAGAUCGUGCCACUGCACUCAAGCCUGGGCAAGAGAGCAAGACUCUGCCUCAAUAAUAAUAAUAAAAAUAUUCUGGGCACAUUAGAUUACAUAAAAUGUAUUAUUUUUAAAAUUACAAAUUUUAUUUGUGAAAGAGACUGGUAGCACCCCUCUCUCAAUUAUUCAACUCCCCUUUUUCCUUAAUAACAGAUUUCCAGCUGGGCAAAUGGUAGCCACAUGGAAUAAAGACUAUAUUCCCCAGCUUCCCUUCCAGCUAGGUGAGACCAUGUGAUAUAGUUUGGACAUUUACCCCAGCCCAAAUCUCCUGUUGAAUUGUAAUCCCCAUUGCUGGAAAUGAGGCCUGGUGGAAUGUGUUUGGACCACGGGGGCAGAUCCCUCAUGGCUUUUGGUGCUGUCUCCGUGAUAGCGAGUUCUCACGAGAUCUGGUCAUUUAAAAUCAUGUGCUCCCCCUCACCCCGCCCACUCUCUCUCUCUUGCUCCUGUUUUCUCCAUGUGAAGUGCCUGCUCCAGCUCUGCCUUCUGCCAUGACUGUAAGGUUCCUGAGGCCCCUCCAAAAGCAGAUGCUACUAUACUUCUUGUAUAGCCUGCAGAACCAUGAGCCAGCUCAACCUCUUUCCUUAUUAUAAACCCAGUCUUGUGUAUUUCUUUACAGCAAUGCAAGAACAGCCUAAUAAGCUGUGUGACUAAUCACUGCAUGAAACGGAGGGAGAGAGUUGUGCAGCUUCCAAGAACCUUCCUUAAGAGAUUAUGUCAGUUCACCCCUUGCCUUCUUCUUCUUCAUUCCUUCCUCCAUCCUGCUGACUAGAAUGAAGAGAUGUUGUCAUCUUGGACCAUGAGGUCAAGGCCAUGAGUGGACCAACAGGAUGUAAAUGUCAUGAGGGCAGGGAUUUUGUCUGUUCCCCAUUCCCCAGCUGCUGUGACCCCAAUGCCUAGUCGGUGCUAAAUAAAUAUUUGCUAAGUGAAUGAAUGAACGAACAAGCCUGGGAGUCCGAUACUGGGGAGGCAAAGUGAAUGAAUGAAUGAACAAGCCUGGGAGUCCGAUACUGGGGAGGCAAUGUCAGCCCCAGACCACCCACCUGGACUUUUACAUGAGUGAGAACCAAACUUCUACCUUGUUUAAACCAACCCUAAUCCUAUCAAUACAAUUUUUAAAAGUCCUAUCAUUGUUUUAGGCCAUAUAAAGUCUACCUAAAAUGUUAAGCUAAACCUCGGUAAAUUGAAUCACAUUUCCAAUGCAUUGUGAUAUUCAUUUUUUAAUGUUGUGGAUUAUUUUACAGAGCCAAAAUCCAUCCACUUGUAUGUUUAAUAAGUUUAGGUUUUAGUAAUUUGGGUUUCUAAAACCAAAAUCCACUUCCAAGAGUACUUUCUUACUAACAAUGCAAAGCACUGUAAAAAUUCAAUCCAGCAAUGAUUUUCUUAACAGCCCUAGAAUGUAAUAUAAGUGUUAUUA
Molecule: long non-coding RNA, 7439 nt
Filed under: Homo sapiens (human)
Lineage: Eukaryota; Metazoa; Chordata; Mammalia; Primates; Hominidae
Description: HSALNT0066722
Source: RNAcentral